This 67-nucleotide transfer RNA is filed under the name Precis milonia. RNAcentral describes it as "tRNA-Ser". The record is from RNAcentral. Lineage: Eukaryota; Metazoa; Arthropoda; Insecta; Lepidoptera; Nymphalidae.
AAUUAAUGAGCUUGUUAAUAAGCAUUUGUUUUGAAAACAUAAGAAAGAAUAAUUAUUCUAUUAAUUU